AUUGAACGCUGGCGGCAGGCCUAACACAUGCAAGUCGAGCGGAUGAAGGGAGCUUGCUCCUGGAUUCAGCGGCGGACGGGUGAGUAAUGCCUAGGAAUCUGCCUGGUAGUGGGGGAUAACGUCCGGAAACGGGCGCUAAUACCGCAUACGUCCUGAGGGGGAAAGUGGGUGAUCUUCGGACCUCACGCUAUCAGAUGAGCCUAGGUCGGAUUAGCUAGUUGGUGGGGUAAAGUCCUACCAAGGCGACGAUCCGUAACUGGUCUGAGAGGAUGAUCAGUCACACUGGAACUGAGACACGGUCCAGACUCCUACGGGAGGCAGCAGUGGGGAAUAUUGGACAAUGGGCGAACGCCUGAUCCAGCCAUGCCGCGUGUGUGAAGAAGGUCUUCGGAUUGUAAAGCACUUUAAGUUGGGAGGAAGGGCAGUAAGUUAAUACCUUGCUGUUUUGACGUUACCAACAGAAUAAGCACCGGCUAACUUCGUG
RNAcentral lists this ribosomal RNA (484 nucleotides) under uncultured bacterium. RNAcentral's name for it is "partial 16S ribosomal RNA". It matches the Rfam family "Bacterial small subunit ribosomal RNA", at positions 30 to 507 of the family's 1533-position model. The record is from RNAcentral.